RNAcentral lists this long non-coding RNA (876 nucleotides) under Heterocephalus glaber (naked mole-rat). Its description in RNAcentral is "lncRNA (ENSHGLG00100039038.1)". The record is from RNAcentral. Lineage: Eukaryota; Metazoa; Chordata; Mammalia; Rodentia; Bathyergidae.
GCAGGAGGGUGGGUGACUUCCUCUAGAGUCUGCAGGAGGAGUCCCCAGACGGUCGCUGUACACUGCACAAUGGCCCGGCCAGCUCAACAGAAAGUUACAGUGUGGUGCCGGAAGUCUGAGUAACAGACACUGGAGGACUGCAGAAUGGCUGUUGGGGUUCCCUGGACACACUCUUCUCACCCUCACCCCGGUCCUACUGAGGUCCUGCACUACCCCUCUGCCCCUGUCUCUGCUUUGCAAACUCCUCUUUGUCUUUAAAACCUCAGGUCCCCUUGGAGACUCUGUGUUCUAUGCCUUCUGCAGUCACCUUGGCCGUAGCCUUCAAUGACAAGUGUCCCUCUUACUGCUGUGGACCCCUCCUGCUCGGGACUUGCUGACUGCCCAUCAGCCUGAGAAGUCCACAGUGCCUUUGCCGAGUGUCCGGAGCCCCCAGGAAAGGCCCUACUGCUGUCUUAUUGGUAUCCAGAAGAUGGGAGCGAGGUCUCCUCAGCACAUCAUGAACCUAAGCCUGUUCUCUGCCUUGAUUCUUCCUCUGCAUCUCUGGACUGUCAAUUCGUCCCUGCUCUUGACUAACCUGCACAGGGCAUGCACUUCUCAACAAAAGCCAAGCUAUGAAUGGCAGCAGAAAGACGUCCAUACUCUGUGUGCAUGUCCUCUACUGCUCCACUAACAAUGACGCUGAAAAACAAAAGAUAGAAAUUUAAAAAAGAGGAAAAAUGAAGACGGUGAUUUGUAAAUAUUGACCUAACAGAGGACAUUUUGGAAAGGAUUGAAGGAACUCCCUGUACUUUCAUACCCUCAAAGUGGCAGGAGCACACAAGUCAUCUCAGUAGCCCGCAUCUUGAGAGACUGGACUGCUCAGAGCUAACAUUCAAG